GGACGAACGCUGGUGGCGUGCUUAACACAUGCAAGUCGAACGGAAAGGCCCUGCUUUUGUGGGGUGCUCGAGUGGCGAACGGGUGAGUAACACGUGAGUAACCUGCCCUUGACUUUGGGAUAACUUCAGGAAACUGGGGCUAAUACCGGAUAGGAGCUCCUGCUGCAUGGUGGGGGUUGGAAAGUUUCGGCGGUUGGGGAUGGACUCGCGGCUUAUCAGCUUGUUGGUGGGGUAGUGGCUUACCAAGGCUUUGACGGGUAGCCGGCCUGAGAGGGUGACCGGCCACAUUGGGACUGAGAUACGGCCCAGACUCCUACGGGAGGCAGCAGUGGGGAAUAUUGCACAAUGGGCGGAAGCCUGAUGCAGCAACGCCGCGUGCGGGAUGACGGCCUUCGGGUUGUAAACCGCUUUCGCCUGUGACGAAGCGUGAGUGACGGUAAUGGGUAAAGAAGCACCGGCUAACUACGUG
This 469-nucleotide ribosomal RNA is filed under the name uncultured bacterium. Its description in RNAcentral is "partial 16S ribosomal RNA". It matches the Rfam family "Bacterial small subunit ribosomal RNA", at positions 27 to 507 of the family's 1533-position model. The record is from RNAcentral.